CUGCCCGUAGCUCAGUUGGAUAGAGCACCAGCCUUCUAAGCUGGUUGUCACAGGUUCGAUCCCUGUCGGGCAGACCA
RNAcentral lists this transfer RNA (77 nucleotides) under Rhodoferax sp. Its description in RNAcentral is "tRNA-Arg". It matches the Rfam family "tRNA". From Rfam's summary of the family: Transfer RNA (tRNA) molecules are approximately 80 nucleotides in length. RNAcentral also lists the same sequence under 1 other name. Lineage: Bacteria; Pseudomonadati; Pseudomonadota; Betaproteobacteria; Burkholderiales; Comamonadaceae. The record is from RNAcentral.